GGGCGCGUGGUGAAAUUGGCAGACACGCAGGAUUUAGGUUCCUGUGCCGCAAGGCGUGUGGGUUCAAAUCCCACCGCGCCCACCA
This 85-nucleotide transfer RNA is filed under the name Kiritimatiellia bacterium. RNAcentral describes it as "Kiritimatiellae bacterium (gut metagenome) tRNA-Leu". It matches the Rfam family "tRNA". Rfam says of the family: Transfer RNA (tRNA) molecules are approximately 80 nucleotides in length. The record is from RNAcentral. Lineage: Bacteria; Pseudomonadati; Kiritimatiellota; Kiritimatiellia.